RNAcentral lists this unclassified non-coding RNA (555 nucleotides) under Hevea brasiliensis (rubber tree). The record is from RNAcentral. Lineage: Eukaryota; Viridiplantae; Streptophyta; Magnoliopsida; Malpighiales; Euphorbiaceae.
ACAAAAUCCAAACCUUUUUGUGACGAUAUUCCUCCGGCAUGACUGUUGCUUCAAUCUCCUCAUCCAAUUGUUUCCACGCUUUGGACAUGUCGAUGACUGACUUGGAACAAAUUGGACAACAGUAUUUGUCACGAUUUAUCAUCUCAGAGUAACAUUCAAGAUGCAUCGUGUGUCCGCAUUUCAUAACAGAAACGUCUUUCAGCGUGUCGAAAAGGUACUCAUAACAAAUUGGACAGUGGUGCUGCAUAGAGUUCUCGAUACACGAAUGAUUGUCACGCAAGUUAACAUGGUAACAUGAUCCACAUUUCUUGCAAUGAAAAUACUUCUCUCGGCCGCCAACCCUACAAAUUCCACAAUCCUCACAAUGGAACUGCCCCUUCUCAAUAUCAUCAUCAUAGAAUUUGCAUAUUUCACAGAAGUACUCCCCCAUAUUAACACCACAAUUCGUACAAACUCGAGCAACUGGCUGCUCCGUGUCACAGACCGCACAGACGACUUGUUUAACGUCAAAACGAUUGAGUUCAUGACGAUCAGAGGGUCUGCUCAUCACAUUCG